GGCGGCGUGCCUAAUACAUGCAAGUCGAGCGCAGGAAACAAGUAGAUCCCGUUCGGGGUGACGCUUGUGGAAUGAGCGGCGGACGGGUGAGUAACACGUGGGCAACCUACCUUGUAGACUGGGAUAACUCCGGGAAACCGGAGCUAAUACGGGAUGAUCAUUCGAAUCGCAUGAUUGAAAUGUAAAAGUGGGGAGUAAUCCUCACACUAUGAGAUGGGCCCGCGGCGCAUUAGCUAGUUGGUAAGGUAAUGGCUUACCAAGGCAACGAUGCGUAGCCGACCUGAGAGGGUGAUCGGCCACACUGGAACUGAGACACGGUCCAGACUCCUACGGGAGGCAGCAGUAGGGAAUCAUCCGCAAUGGGCGAAAGCCUGACGGUGCAACGCCGCGUGAACGAUGAAGGUUUUCGGAUCGUAAAGUUCUGUUAUGAGGGAAGAACAAGUGCCGUUCGAAUAGGGCGGCACCUUGACGGUACCUCACGAGAAAGCCCCGGCUAACUACGUG
RNAcentral lists this ribosomal RNA (504 nucleotides) under uncultured bacterium. RNAcentral describes it as "bacterial SSU rRNA". It matches the Rfam family "Bacterial small subunit ribosomal RNA", at positions 38 to 507 of the family's 1533-position model. The record is from RNAcentral.